UUAAAGGAAUUGACGGGCCCGCACAAGCAGCGGAGCGUGUGGUUUAAUUCGAUGUUACACGAAGAACCUUACCAGGGUUUGACAUGCAAGUGGUAGGAAGCCGAAAGGUGACCGACCCUUCGGGGAGCUUGCACAGGUGCUGCAUGGCUGUCGUCAGCUCGUGUCGUGAGAUGUUCGGUUAAGUCCGCUAACGAGCGCAACCCUCGCUGUGUGUUAUAUGUGUCACACGGGACUGCCGGUCUUAAGCCGGAGGAAGGUGGGGAUGAUGUCAAGUCAGCAUGGCCUUUAUAUCCUGGGCUACACACACGCUACAAUGGCCAACACAAUAGGUUGCUAAGCCGCGAGGUGGCGCCAAUCCAUAAAGUUGGUCUCAGUUCAGAUUGUAGGCUGCAACCCGCCUGCAUGAAGAUGGAGUUGCUAGUAACCGCAGGUCAGCUAUACUGCGGUGAAUACGUUCCCGGGUCUU
RNAcentral lists this ribosomal RNA (466 nucleotides) under uncultured Leptolinea sp. Its description in RNAcentral is "bacterial SSU rRNA". It matches the Rfam family "Bacterial small subunit ribosomal RNA", at positions 901 to 1382 of the family's 1533-position model. The record is from RNAcentral. Lineage: Bacteria; Bacillati; Chloroflexota; Anaerolineae; Anaerolineales; Anaerolineaceae.